Triticum dicoccoides is the source of this 3514-nucleotide long non-coding RNA. RefSeq lists it as uncharacterized. Lineage: Eukaryota; Viridiplantae; Streptophyta; Magnoliopsida; Poales; Poaceae. The transcript is spliced from 3 exons. The record is from RefSeq and is a predicted model, not a curated record.
GUGCUCAUGCUCACUAUCAAGAACAACACUCAGCAUCAAGUGACUGGGUUGAUAAAAAGUGUGCAUUUGUCAAACCUGCAAGACGAAGUAAAGAAACAGAAGUCAUGUAAAUCUUUGUGGUUCCAUUGCUACAAAUGGAAGCAGGUAAAAUACAUUCCUCUAUGAUCUUGCUGCUGUUAAGAUUUGAACUCGCCUUUUCUUCCUCCGAACUGCCAUUGACUAACAAAGAAGGGUACAAUCUUUCAUCGUAGGUAAAUCCUUGCCUUCAAGUUGGCAUGUGAAGUGUUGUGACUGCUCUUAGAAAUAAUUUUGUAGUAUAUUGUAAGGAUAUCCAGCAAUAGUUUCCUAUAAACUGUUAUUUCGGCAGUCGAAAAAUAAUAUGCCAUUAAAUCAGGAAGGAGCCUUGCAUAUCCCAUUACAACUAUUUCUUUCCUAUUUUUCAUAAUAACCUUUGUGUUUAUUGUCUUCACUCUGAAAUCUAUCUACAAACAAACUCAAUGCAAUAUUGAUACUUCUACCAUACAAAGUGUGCUAUGUUUCAAAACACUAGCAUUGGUGUCUUGUAGCUAUUACUAUUCCUUAAUGUUUAGGUAUAUAAUGCCUCCACGUAUUUGUAUUAAACACUAACAUUCAGUAUUACAAAUAGAUGGGCGUAGCAACGCGCGCCAUCCAUGAUCUAGUGUACAUAGUAUCUGAGACAAGAGGAGCCUCUCACGGUAAUUGGCCGACCAGCGUGGGUCCGAAGGGCGUGGUAAUGGACUUUUUUGUCCGAUUGUUGCCGAUAAUUUAUUAAGCAUGAGUUUGUAUAUGUCUCCCCCCAUAAUUAAAUAAAUAAAUUUGAAUAUGUUUGCUCCGAGAUCAAUAGGUACUACAUUGGCUAGAAAACGAGGCUCAAGCACACAAAAAUUGCAACUGGCCAUCCGAAACUUUGGUCAACCCAAAUGUAUGAACAUGUAAUAGCAUUACUAUGUUUACAAAAAUAAAAUACAAGUGCAAUAUUCUUGAUGCUAAAACAAAUUUGGAAAACAUAUUUGACUGCAUCAUCACAUAAAACAUAGAUGUCUAACAUUAAAAAAGGGAUCUGAAGACAUCUAUGGAGGCACAUGCAUAUGAAGACAUCUCAAUGCUAUCAAAUUUAGUAGUUACAAACUAACGUUGCACACAAUGCUGAACAUAUUUUUCAAGUACUUCCAAUUUGAUAUAUAGCAUGUAUAACAUAUACCAACAUACUUUGGGUCAAGUAUUGCGCGACAAAUUGUUUACAGCCUUCUAGAUAUUAAUACAAUAUUCAAUAUUGUAUACUAUAUUAAUUAAUCUGUCUGCAAACAUGUUGCCUAGCAUAAUAGUUGUUAUUGUGAUGUUCUCAAUGGUAGCAUAUUUUCAUUGCAGAUGAUUAACUUAAAAAUGUUUGACCAUCACAAGGAAACAAAUUGGAAAUGUUUGACUCGCGCAAAUGCUAAAGGGGGCUAUAUUUUCAAGCCGAGAUAAUAUCACAGUAAUCUUUUUUUGACACGACGGUAAUCAUCUUUGGUUGUGUAUGUAGUGUUGCUUCAGCCUAGAAAAAUUCCAAUUGCGAGUCGCUGAAAGUGGAGUGUGUGAGACACUUACUUUUUUACAAGAGCUCCCAUGGUUUUGGAAAAAGGAAAAACAGUUCCAGCCCGCUGGCCCAUGGGCCCAUUUGCACGGUUGGUGGCGAUAAGUAUGCCAGUUAGAACAAGCUUCACAUUGCAUCAGAUCCUAUAUCCUUAAAUAGUGGCUACCCAUUACCUAUUUUCCUCGUCAUGCAACUAUGUCAUGUCCUCAAGUCAUACAUGUGGUCACAAGUUACAAUUCAUGCACUAAUCUAUCCAUGAUUUGUUUCACUAAUUAUUGUGUGAUGCUUGGAACAAAUAUAUGUAUGUCAUGUUACAUAUUUUUGUUAUGUAGGCGCCCCGUUGAUAUCAAUGCAACAGUUUUCUCUUUUUAUACAACAUUUUAUCACAUGCUUCGUAUGCUUUCCUGUUUUUUAAAGACAAACUGACUGCAAUUUUAAAUUUGUUUUUGUUAUAGUUUUAAAAAAUUUAGCACCUAUUUAUGCAUCUGUUUUGUUAGGCUUCCCGGUGCAACGCGCAGGCCUUCAUCUAGUUGUUUCUGAAGUUGUAACCCAUGCAACCAAUUGGCGUCAAAAACAUAAGGAAAGGAAAAGGAGUGAGAACGAUAGCUUAUGAAGCUACAAUCAUUGCCCGCAUCAUGCAGAAUACAAAACUCUAACGUAGGUAGUAAUUAUACCACAUAUUCUACGGUUACACACCCCGAACGACAGAAAAGGGUGAGCACAUGCAUUGCAACAGCAAACAGGGCAGGUUUAGCUUCUUUUUAUUUUGAUGGAACAGGGCAGGUAUAGCUAAAAACGUCCACUGGGACAAGUGGGCAACAUGCUGAUUCAUUUAAAAAAAUUUGUGGGGUGGGCAACAUGCUGAUACUAGUACAAGACUGUUUGUCUGUUUGUAUCCUUGGGGGGCUCGCCAGAGGUCUUUGGUCUUGAAAAGAGAAGCCAUUUAACACGUUGAAACUAGCCACAAUGAAGAGUAACAUAUACUAGUAAGAUACACAUAUCCUUAGACUAUGUUACUAUCUUUACAAUGGGUAGUAGCAAAAAUGUGGUGUUAUAUAAAGCUUUAUUUAUUAGGUUAUAGACUCAUAUUGCAUUGGGACAUGUGAUGUUACAGUAAACUACCUCUCUCCUUAUUAACUCAUUGUCACAUAAACAAAUUUGCUGAGUUGAAUUCGAUGUUACUGCUGAAGUUAGUCCUACUGUGGCUAGUCUGAUAGCAAGGGAUCGGGUGAGAGACUCAUACGAUUGACUAGAGAGUUAGGCACAUGGAUGUCCACACGAUUGAGCGAGCACCCCGGCCCGCAGUACAUAUAUCCUCGUUGCUCACAGCCUCAACGCACACAGUUCUCGUACUGAUCCACACAAGAGGACCUUAGCUACUCUUAACCCAUGGAGAGAUCGUCGUCCCCUUCAAAGGUUCUCCUCGUCUUCCUCCUGCAGUUCCUCCUGCUCUCUGAACCUCGGGAAGCAAGGAUACUAGGUGAUGCAUACGACUACAAGAACCUGCUCGCGUCGGGUGUCGAUGGAGAUGCCGCAGCGCUGCCCGCAUCACACCUGAACCUCGCCGACGUUGCAGGGAACAGGCGUCCUUUUGCGCCGCCAGCGCCGAAGGUGCCCCCACCACCACACCAUCUCCACGGAGAUGGCGCGCAUGAGCAGCAUAGGUCUCCGCCGGCGUCGACCUCCACUGAACCUGCACCACCGCGUGAUUACAGUCGCCAACAGGCUGAAGCUGCAGGACACCAACCGAUGAUGGAUGUAUCUCGCGCGUUUCUCCAAGCGAUCAUGGGAUAUGUGACGAAAAUGUAACAAACCACGCCCGCAUAUGGCCUUUUUUUUGUGAUGAAUCUCGUUGAAAUUGUAUCGUUUUGUGUAAAUUUUUCGCAUUUUAAAAUAGAGCACACAAGCUUUCAGCUCAAA